This 253-nucleotide ribosomal RNA is filed under the name uncultured bacterium. RNAcentral describes it as "partial 16S ribosomal RNA". It matches the Rfam family "Bacterial small subunit ribosomal RNA", at positions 524 to 776 of the family's 1533-position model. The record is from RNAcentral.
UACGGAGGGUGCAAGCGUUAUCCGGAUUCACUGGGUUUAAAGGGUGCGUAGGCGGAUUUACAAGUCAGUGGUGAAAUCUCCCGGCUUAACCGGGAAACUGCCAUUGAAACUGUUUAUCUUGAGUACAUUUGAGGCGGGCGGAAUGUGUCAUGUAGAGGUGAAAUUCUUAGAUAUGACACAGAACAUCAAUUGCGAAGGCAGCUCGCUAAACUGUAACUGACGCUGAGGCACGAAAGCGUGGGGAUCAAACAGG